UGAACGCUGGCGGCGUGCUUAACACAUGCAAGUCGUACGAGAACGCUUCAGCUUGCUGAAGCUAGUAAAGUGGCGCACGGGUGAGUAACGCGUGGGUAACCUGCCUUUGAUUUGGGAAUAACUUCGCGAAAGCGGUGCUAAUACCGAAUGAUAUCAUAAAAACUCCGGUUUUCAUGAUCAAAAGGGGCCUCUACAUGUAAGCUCCUGAUCGAAGAUGGGCUCGCGUACCAUUAGCUUGUUGGUAGGGUAAUGGCCUACCAAGGCGACGAUGGUUAGCUGGUCUGGGAGGAUGAUCAGCCACACUGGAACUGAGACACGGUCCAGACGCCUACGGGAGGCAGCAGUGAGGAAUAUUGCGCAAUGGGGGAAACCCUGACGCAGCAACGCCGCGUGAGUGAUGAAGGCUUUCGGGUCGUAAAGCUCUGUCAAGUGGGAAGAACCUGAAAAAUGAUAAUACCAUUUUUCACUGACGGUACCACUAAAGGAAACACCGGCUAACUCC
This 502-nucleotide ribosomal RNA is filed under the name uncultured bacterium. RNAcentral's name for it is "bacterial SSU rRNA". It matches the Rfam family "Bacterial small subunit ribosomal RNA", at positions 30 to 504 of the family's 1533-position model. The record is from RNAcentral.